This 200-nucleotide unclassified non-coding RNA is filed under the name Ascomycota sp. RNAcentral describes it as "partial internal transcribed spacer 2". Lineage: Eukaryota; Fungi; Ascomycota. The record is from RNAcentral.
UUAAGUUCAGCGGGUAUCCCUACCUGAUCCGAGGUCAAAAACUUAGUUAUGGGGGGGUUCCGGCGGACGUUUCCACUUCACCAUCACGAGAGUAAUUUACUACGCUUUGGUUGCGUGGCUCGUCGCCAUUGAAUUUCGCACAGGAAGCUUGCGCCUCCAAUGCAAGACCAACUAACAAUAAAUUGUUGAUUGAGGUUUUU